RNAcentral lists this long non-coding RNA (1143 nucleotides) under Macaca mulatta (Rhesus monkey). RNAcentral's name for it is "lncRNA (ENSMMUG00000057736.1)". The record is from RNAcentral. Lineage: Eukaryota; Metazoa; Chordata; Mammalia; Primates; Cercopithecidae.
CUCGGUGUCAUGCAGGAGCCUCCUGACCAACAGUGUUCUGUGGAUGUGUUUCUAUCAAAGCAGGCACUGGGGGAAGUGGUCCAGCCGCGGAAUGCCAUCGUCAUCUGAUCACCCUGCACUUCUGAGUCAGUGGGCCUGGCAGAACAAAGGGCACUUCAGAGAGUCUUAUUGGAACAAAGAAAACAAAACAAUGGAGAGAAUAAUGUCUGCAGUGGUGUAGCGGGAAGCAACAAGAUUGACAGCAGAACUACGGUGACGGUGACCAACUAGACUGCUCCCAUUUGCCCAGGAUGGAAGAAUUCCCCGAGCCGUGGACGUACAGGGGGAGCUCCAGGAUAGCUGGUUGUUUCAGCUGCUAACCUCACUGGCAUCAAAUAAAGGCACUGCAUUUUGCCAGCCUGGAAGCCUCUGGCAAAGCCACUUCUCAGACCGUUGGUUGUCUUCUCUGUAAAGAGGAUGCUAAUAAAUACUCCUUAUGAUUUUGUUAAAUUAAGCAUGGAAUAAAGUGGUCUCCUUACAUAUUUUAAGUUUGCCUGAUAGGUUUCUCCACACAUAGUGGGCUGUAACCUAACUGGAUAUGUGAACCAACUGUCACCUCCUCUUGUAGCAAUCAGUUUCUGCCAAUCACAGGUGGCCAACUGUCCAGACCCGGCUCAAAUAAGGCAAACGCAGAGCUGUAACCAACUGGGUGUUUCUACAUGUCACUUCCAUCUUCUGGACCUUCAUUCCAUCUUCUCUAACUCAUUUCUAUUUUCAGUAUUUCACUUCUGUCUUCGGUACCUCAUCACCAUCUUCUGAACUUUGUUCCCUAUUCUCUAUCUCACUUCUGUUUUCUAUCACUUUCAUCUUCUCUAACUCAUUUCCAUCUUCUGUACUUCACCUCUGUCUUCUGUACCUCCUCAUCUUCUAGGCCUUCUUCAGUCUUCUAUGCCUCACUUCCAUUUUCCUUACCUUAUUUUCAUCUUCUGUACCUCACUUCUGUUUUUCAUAAAUGACUUCCGUUUCCUGUGACUUCUGUUUUCUCCACAUCACAUUCGUUUUCUGUGCCUCACUUCCAUUUUCCUUAACUGAUUUCCAUCUUCUGUACCUCACUAACGUUUUUCAUAACUCACUUCUGCUUCCUGUGACUUACUUCCGUUUCCU